AUUUAGGCAAGGAUUUGAAAGUGUGCAUUUAGAAAUUGAGGGCAUCUCUGUGUUAUUAUGAGUGUAUGUGUGUUUGUGUGUGCAUUUUAGAGUGGUUGGUUAUCUGUGUGUAUUUGCAAGGAGAAGGGGAAUUCAGUGUGUUUCUGUGUUUGUGUGUUUGUUUGUGAAUGGUAUGUUUUGCAGAGGAGUGUACUUUUUAUGUUCGAAAGUUAGGCAAUCAUGUAAUUUAUCAUCCAAAUGGGGAUACAUUUGAGAAUGAAAUAUAUAUGUGUGUGAAAGGAUGUCUUUGAAUGUACUUUUAAAAAUGCAUUUAAUUUUGUGUGUGUUAUUGGUGUCAGGAAUUAAGAAAAAGAAGAGAAGUACAGGAGAUAUCAUUAAAUUAUAUAGUUCUCUCUUCGACUGUAGCCUUAUAACAGGGACAUUAAUAGAAUUAACAGGUGGAAUCUAAUUGUCUCCCUUGGAAUCUGGGAUGGCUGUCCUACUUAUUUGACCAACAGAAUUUGUCAGAAGGGACUUUCUGUAACUUCUGAAGCUGUCUCAUAAGAAGCCUUGCAGAUUCUGCUCAUGUCUCUUUCCUCUCUGGGAAACAAGUCGCGACUCAGGGAUAAGCCUGAGACACAUGGAGAGAACAUCCUGAUCAAUCUGGUCUUUGCUGCUACCCUGGUCAACAGCCUGAGCUGGAUACCUGGCUGACAAGUACCACCUUUUUCCUACACAGAUGACAACCCAGCCCAUGAGCACCAGAUGCCACUGCUACUCCUUCACUUGCUCAUUCUGCAAAAGUUUGUAGAUCUUCUGCAAGGAGAACGGCAUUGUUAACUACCUACAGGAAGUGGUCCAUCUUGGGCUAGUGGCAAAUGGAAAGGCUCUGUUUAUGAUAGUCGCUCAAGGACCCAGAAAAACAAGCAUCCAUCACUGGAAUGUCAUCAGUUAUUGACUCAAAAAAGACCUUUGACCCAACUCAACCUGACAGUAGUCAUAAAUAUCUCCUAAUGUGUUUACUGGCUUCAUUGGUUAUAUUUAUUUUUUCUUCUGUGAAAUGCCUACUUAUGCUUCUUGCCCUUUUUCUAUUAGAUUUGCCCACUUUUAAUAAUGAGUAGAAAUUAUUUAUAUGUUCUUGAGUUUAAUACUUUAUUAGUUACAUAUACUGCAAAUAUCUCUUAACUGUUUCUCCAUUCUUUUCAUUUGGUUCAAGAUAUGUGUUGAAAAAAGGAAAAGUUUUUAGUUUUAUUAGAACUCAAAUGAUCAUCCUUUUCUUACAUAGCUAGUGCUUUUUGUAACUUGUUUAUGAAAAGACUGCCCAGCCCAUAUUCUAAGAGAUAAUCAUCUAUAGUUUUUCCAAACAUUUUACUAUGUAGAUUUUGAAAUUUAAGCCCUUUAUUUGUCUCAAUUUGAUAUUUGUAUAUAAAGUGACAGAGAGGUCCAAUAUUUUUAUUUUAUACAAGAAUAAUUAUUUUAUUAAGUUCCAUUUUGGGAAUAAUUCCUUUUCUCUCCACUGAUCUGAUAUGCCACACAUACAUUGGUGUUUCACAUAUGUGUAAAUCUGUUUUAAAACUGUCCAUUGUGUUACUGGUCAAUUUGCCUUUCUAUUUCCAAAUAUUGUUUUAAAUAAUAUAAGAAGUCUUGAUAUCGAGAAGAAUAAAUUUUUCCUUAACUUUUUCUUGGCUUUUUAAAAUUCCCAUGGAGUCUUCAAAAACUUUUGUUAGAAUAUUUCCAAGAUGUAUGUUUUAAUACCCUCCAAUCAUAU
Long non-coding RNA from Homo sapiens (human), 1747 nucleotides. Lineage: Eukaryota; Metazoa; Chordata; Mammalia; Primates; Hominidae. The record is from Ensembl.